Molecule: ribosomal RNA, 496 nt
Filed under: uncultured bacterium
Lineage: Bacteria
Description: partial 16S ribosomal RNA
Rfam family: Bacterial small subunit ribosomal RNA
Source: RNAcentral
GAUGAACGCUGGCGGCGUGCCUAAUACAUGCAAGUCGAGCGAACAGACGAGGAGCUUGCUCCUCUGACGUUAGCGGCGGACGGGUGAGUAACACGUGGAUAACCUACCUAUAAGACUGGGAUAACUUCGGGAAACCGGAGCUAAUACCAGAUAAUAUAUUGAACCGCAUGGUUCAAUAGUGAAAGACGGUUUUGCUGUCACUUAUAGAUGGAUCCGCGCCGCAUUAGCUAGUUGGUAAGGUAACGGCUUACCAAGGCAACGAUGCGUAGCCGACCUGAGAGGGUGAUCGGCCACACUGGAACUGAGACACGGUCCAGACUCCUACGGGAGGCAGCAGUAGGGAAUCUUCCGCAGUGGGCGAAAGCCUGACGGAGCAACGCCGCGUGAGUGAUGAAGGUCUUCGGAUCGUAAAACUCUGUUAUUAGGGAAGAACAAAUGUGUAAGUAACUAUGCACGUCUUGACGGUACCUAAUCAGAAAGCCACGGCUAACUACGU